RNAcentral lists this ribosomal RNA (253 nucleotides) under uncultured bacterium. Its description in RNAcentral is "partial 16S ribosomal RNA". It matches the Rfam family "Bacterial small subunit ribosomal RNA", at positions 524 to 776 of the family's 1533-position model. The record is from RNAcentral.
UACGAAGGGGGCUAGCGUUGUUCGGAAUUACUGGGCGUAAAGCGCGCGCAGGCGGCUAUCCAAGUCAGUGGUGAAAGCCCGGAGCUCAACUCCGGAACUGCCAUUGAAACUGUUUAGCUUGAGGACGAGAGAGGUGAGUGGAAUUCCCAGUGUAGAGGUGAAAUUCGUAGAUAUUGGGAAGAACACCGGUGGCGAAGGCGGCGACCUGGUCCAAGACUGACGCUGAGGCGCGAAAGCGUGGGGAGCAAACAGG